This 751-nucleotide long non-coding RNA is filed under the name Aotus nancymaae (Ma's night monkey). RNAcentral describes it as "lncRNA (ENSANAG00000039437.1)". The record is from RNAcentral. Lineage: Eukaryota; Metazoa; Chordata; Mammalia; Primates; Aotidae.
GUUUCUCUUUCUAGGAAAUCCGGCCGCAGUUACCAAAAGCCACUGACCCCGGAAUGCUGGCCCCAGGGAGAGAGGGUGUCAGGAAGGCCCCCUCCCUGCCAGAUGGGCCUUGGGUAUGACUCCCAGGGGUGGGGCUGCGCUGGAGGUUAUAAAACGGCUGUAGGGGGGACUACAAGCUUCGCUUUCUCUUUGGAGAAGUUUCUUUGAGCACAAACAGGAAAAUAACGGGAAGGUCCAGAGCUGGGGACGCAGUCCUGGGAUGGGGAGACCUCAGCUCUUCUGCACUGGAGCUAGGAAGGCAGCUUCUCCCACACGGGACUUCGAUCUGCAUUUAAGCAGGCACCUCUGUCCUGAGAGAGCUGCGCUCCCCGCGGUCCUUCUACGGCUCACGCUGCUGCUGAUGCCCGUGCCCUGCCUCCUGCAAACCAACCAGAUUGCGAAUCCGCCCAUCAGGAACGUAAGGAUGGAAGCAAAUACUCAGACGUUGACCUGGGACGUUGAUGGGAAUGUUACCGGUAUCGACUGCCAGAAAGGUCCAGACUAUGGAAUACAGGUGAACCCUCUCCUCUCUCUGUCUUUUUUUUUUUUUUUUUUUGAUGGGGUCUUGCUAUGUUGCCCAGGCUGGAGUGCAGUGGCUAUUAACAGGCACGAUCCCAGCACUGAUCAGCACGGGAGUUUUGACCUGCUCCGUUUCCUUCCUGACUCAGCACAGUGAGACCCCGUCUCAACAAAAAACAAAGCAACGGGCCGG